This is a long non-coding RNA of Lolium rigidum, 751 nucleotides long. RefSeq lists it as uncharacterized. The record is from RefSeq and is a predicted model, not a curated record. The transcript is spliced from 3 exons. NCBI's taxonomy places the organism in Eukaryota, Viridiplantae, Streptophyta, Magnoliopsida, Poales, Poaceae.
UGGCCCUUGCCAUGACACCUCGCACAGUUAUAACCUUGGAUCUGAUCCAUGCCCAGCUCUCACACUUACAGACUGAGUUCUGAAACACAUGGUCCAUAACGUGACAUCUUAAAUAUCAGUGUAUAUUUUGAUUUUCCUUUAUUUUUUCAGUCUGACUGUGGGCUGGUGGACAACUUGAGACAGAAGUUCUUUAAGGUUGAUGGGUGCUACCACCAGGUGGACUCAGCCGUCCUUAUGUUGCACACUGCUAACGGAAUUGAUGCUAUCAGCAAGGAUUUAACUGCACUCAAACGCAAGGUUUUGGUCUCUGCAGUCUAUAUCACCACAUUUUCUGGGCUUCUCUGGUAUUACAACUACACCUUGCAGAAAGAUUUGGAAAUUCAAAAAAAGAAAUGCUCGGACAUGCAAAACGAGAUUGAGGAUCUCUUUGAUAGAGCAUCAGAGGUUGGGAUCACCUUCCCCAUACAUAUUCGUCUGCCAUGAGAUGUUCAUCACAAAGGCAAACCGAAUGAUGAGUCUGUUCACUAGGGCACUUAGCCUAACUAAUGCCAAAUCUAUUUUCUAUUUCAUGUAAUUCGUGACAUGGACAAUGAAGGCAUGUAACUGAGACUCGUGUAACUAGUAUUUAUGUAGGUGUUUGCUCUGGAUUAUUUGGUAUUUUAAAUGAUGGUGUUGGACAUUUAGAGACAAAAAUGAUACAUUUCAACAAUGAGUGUUAUAAUAAGGAAUGGAAUUGGUAACUGCACUAAUA